UGGGGAAUUUUGGACAAUGGGCGAAAGCCUGAUCCAGCAAUGCCGCGUGUGUGAAGAAGGCCUUCGGGUUGUAAAGCACUUUUGUCCGGAAAGAAAUGGCUCUGGUUAAUACCUGGGGUCGAUGACGGUACCGGAAGAAUAAGGACCGGCUAACUACGUGCCAGCAGCCGCGGUAAUACGUAGGGUCCAAGCGUUAAUCGGAAUUACUGGGCGUAAAGCGUGCGCAGGCGGUUGUGCAAGACCGAUGUGAAAUCCCCGAGCUUAACUUGGGAAUUGCAUUGGUGACUGCACGGCUAGAGUGUGUCAGAGGGGGGUAGAAUUCCACGUGUAGCAGUAAAAUGCGUAGAGAUGUGGAGGAAUACCGAUGGCGAAGGCAGCCCCCUGGGAUAACACUGACGCUCAUGCACGAAAGCGUGGGGAGCAAACAGGAUUAGAUACCCUGGUAGUCCACGCCCUAAACGAUGUCAACUAGUUGUUGGGGAUUCAUUUCCUUAGUAACGUAGCUAACGCGUGAAGUUGACCGCCUGGGGAGUACGGUCGCAAGAUUAAAACUC
RNAcentral lists this ribosomal RNA (554 nucleotides) under uncultured bacterium. RNAcentral describes it as "partial 16S ribosomal RNA". It matches the Rfam family "Bacterial small subunit ribosomal RNA", at positions 355 to 902 of the family's 1533-position model. The record is from RNAcentral.